UACCUGCAGCUCGAGUGGUAACCGCUAUUAUUGGGCCUAAAGCGUCCGUAGCCGGUUUGGUAAAUAUCUGGGUAAAUCGUGAGGCUUAACUUCACGAAUUUCGGAUAGACUGCCAGACUUGGGAUCGGGGGAGGUCAGAGGUACUCCAGGGGUAGCGGUGAAAUGUUGUAGUCCUCGGAGGACCACCGGUAGCGAAGGCGUCUGACUAGAACGAGUCCGACGGUGAGGGACGAAGCCCUGGGGCGCAAACCGGAUUAGAUACCCGGGUAGUCCAGGGUGUAAACAAUGUGGGCUUUGUAUUGGAGAUCCCACGUGGGUGUCCAGUGCAGAAGAGAAGUUGUUAAGCCCACCGCCUGGGAAGUACGGUCGCAAGGCUGAAACUUAAAGGAAUUGGCGGGGGAGCACAGCAACGGGAGGAGCGUGCGGUUU
This 429-nucleotide ribosomal RNA is filed under the name uncultured archaeon. RNAcentral's name for it is "bacterial SSU rRNA". It matches the Rfam family "Archaeal small subunit ribosomal RNA", at positions 474 to 903 of the family's 1478-position model. The record is from RNAcentral.